GGAUGGCUAGGAUGGAGUUUUCUUGUUUGCAAUCUGAGUGAAUUGAUCUGAUUGGAGUAGAGAAUGCUGGCUGGUGAUUGGUUGAUUCAAACUGGUCAAGGCAAGGGCUGGCUCCUGAUUGGUUCCCUUAAGGCUCCCAUGAACCUUUUUCAUAAAGAUGGCUAGAUACAUGGUCAAGGCUGCUUUUCCUUUACAGCUCAAAGACAGCCUGUCAUUGACCACACCCUAGCUCUCCCUUAUCCACAAACAGUCACAAGAUAACUCAGGUUGUCUUCUCUUGCGCCCUAAGUUUGCACAGCUUCAUUUCAGGUUGAUCCGGAACAAGUACGGUCGAUGGUACGGACCGCCCGUCCGUACCUCGCCCUAUUUUUGUACCAACUCCCAAUCUUCUCAAAUGGUUAAGUCUGAACAUGAUCUUGGUCGCCCUAAGUUUGUACGGUCUGUACGGUCCGUACCGAUGCUCGACCCUAUUUCUCCACCAUCACCCAACUGACUCCAAAUGGUGUCUAAGUCCCUCCUGAACUUGACCCUAACCUUGCACACCUCAUUUUGGAUACUUCUGGACACUCUUGAACACUCCUAAAGCCUUGAUAGACAAUCUCCGGAGGUCUUGCCCUAUUCUUGCUCAAGACCCAAACUCAACUCAACUCCUCUUUUGGCUCCAUUUCUUUCUUCAAGUCAACACUCCCCCUCAAGCUUGACUCUAGGUGAUCCUAAGUCAAGCUUGGAACCUUGAAGAACUCCCUCAUUAAAAACCUCACCAAGGAAAACCCUUUGGGACAAAACCUUGAUGAGGGAAAAAGAGUAGAGCCUCCAAGGCCUAGGGAUUGGCCAGUGAGCCUAUGUGCCUUAGUAUAACUGAGGUUUAGGCACAUAGGCUCUGGAUCACGGCCUCUUCACUUCACCACUCUUCUUGGACUUCUUCUUGAACUCGGUUUGUGUCUUCCCUUCUCUCAUGGCUUCUCGCCAUCUCCAUCAGGUAAGAUCACGCCCUCUUCAUUGAGAAUCCAAGUAAGGUACCUGAUACAUCAUUCCACAAGUGUAUCAGUUCUCAAGAGAUAAACCUAUCAUGAAUGUAUAUUAAGAGAUAAAGAUCAGGUUUACUCCCUUGUAUAAAUAGUGAGGAGUGGCCGCUCUUCACAUGCCACUUGAAUCCCUCACUUGCUGAGCUUAACAGCUCCUUUUCUUAUCAUGCAAGCUCAUCCAUACUCCCCCUCAAGCUUGAGACCGAGUAUAAGGAAGUUCCAAGCUUGAUGGUGAGCGCAUGAUAGCUCCAUGAUAAGCCCUGUGGAAAGCACCUCCAUCUCCUUUGGACUUGAUGCUUGAACCUCCACUACAUCAUCAUUGCACUGAGGAGACACCUCAGCCCACUCUCCAAGCACCUCACACGCCUUGUUGAGUGACCUUCUUCAUCCCUCUACUUCGGCUGAAUCACUCAAUGAUCAGCUUGCAAUGACCUUGAAUAACACAGGUCAUUGAAAAACAGGGUCAUCAGGUGGCUCACUUUGCUCCCCUCCUCAAGCUUGGAUUGAGUAUGGGUCCAAGCUUGAAGUGAGCCUCAAUGAGCCUUAAGAUCAGGAGCGCAACAUCUCAUAGAGUGCGCUUCAACCACUGAUCAACCCUUCCCUUUAUCUCCUAUGCCUUCUGGUCACCGGUCUCCUCCAGACUUAGGUGAUGACCACUCGCCUUGUGUAUCCACACAUACACCACAGUGACCAUUCCCAAUGGGUAAAGUCUUCCUCUUCUGCUCGGAUUGGUGAUGGACAGAGAGCACAUCUUGUGAACCUGAAACAUCACUCAAACUCCAGCAAAGAUAAGACACAAGCAUUGGGAUCAAUCCUUGACUAAUCAUCAAGUUUGAUCUCCAAUGUCACAAGCUAUGCAACAGAUUGAAACAAGCAUUAUCAAGUUCACAUCUUUGCAAGCAAUCUCUCUAAGUACAAGCAAGAUCAAAUCAGAUUCAAGACAAGCUACUUAGGCAAUCAACCCUGCCUUAAUCCGCAAUCAUAGACAUCCAUCUAUGUGCUCAAUGUUAAGGCAACAACAAGAUGACAAUAUGCUGUGACCUUAAUCAGUUUCUAGCUCAUGUAUGCAACAAGAUCAGCCAAUGCUUUCUAUUAUCCUAACACACAUCACUUAUAACUGAGGCAAAGCAAUAUUAAUCAUCAAUCAACAUCAGACAAUGCAAAACCUUAAGUGAUUUCAGUUUAAUGAAAGCUAAUAGGAUUUAGACAGUUUCUAACAUCCUAGCACAAUCAUAACCAAACCGGGUAAGCAUUUUAUUUCUCAACAUCAAACAAGACUCUUAAAGCAUCCUGGGACUGAACUAGACAAUACAAUAUAGCAUUUCAUAUCAAGAACCCACGGAUUGCAACACUACGCAACACUACACACAACCAGUUUCAAUCACAUGCUCAUAUCAAGAAGGUUUAGGAUUAGCUUACAACCAAGGAACCUGAGCUGGUUCCUUGAGCCUCCUUGGUAAUAGGUCACGAAUCUGAUGGGUAAGAGAGCUGGAUCGUCACCCAACACCCUCUCCUUGUGUUCAUAACCUUCUCCUUGAAACCACAACUCAAAAGGCUCCACCUUUCUUCACAGCUCCAAGUCACCAACUUCAGGAACAAGGGGAAAGCUUUCUUCUUGAAUGGUUUCAGCUUGGACCAGAGUUGAGACACACCUUUAAUGGACUGGAGAGAGGAGGCACGACCAUGAUAAACCUCCUUGGCUUCAUACACCUUCUUCUUGAAGAGAGAGAACCAAAAGGACAGAUCUUCAAUGGCUUGGAUUUGAGAUGAGACUAGGCUUGUGAUGUAUAUGCGGAAGCUGGAACCAAGUUCUGAUGAACCUGGCUCUGAUACCAUGUUAGGUUUUCAGAGCUCAGGCUGUGUGUGUGAGAAGAAGCCACUAAGGGCGAAAUGAGAGCUUGAACUGAAGAGAGAAAGGUCUGAUGAAAAGAGUAUGAACUUGGACAGAAACAAGAGAUUUAGAGAGAUUAAGAGAUUUAAGUAUAAGAAAGGGAGAGAUUAAGGGAUUCUUAUCCAAGAACACACUUUGUAUUAUGGAGGAGGGGAAAUCCCCCUCUCUCUCUUAAGAGAGUUACAAAACGUCCAUGAUAGCCUUUAUAUAGGCUUUACACUUUGUAAAAUCAUAAACCCUUAAUCUAAUGGAUAGAAAUGACUUGAGAUGAAUGGAUGGCUAGGAUGGAGCUUUCUUGUUUGCAAUCUGAGUGAAUUGAUCUGAUUGGAGUACAGAAUGCUGGCUGGUGAUUGUUUGAUUCAAACUGGUCAAGGCAAGGGCUGGCCCCUGAUUGGUUCCCUUAAGGCUCCCAUGAACCUUUUUCAUAAAGAUGGCUAGAUACAUGGUCAAGGCUGCUUUUCCUUUACAGCUCAAAGACAACCUGUCAUUGACCACGCCCUAGCUCUCCCUUAUCCACAAACAGUCACAAGAUAACUCAGGUUUGUCUUCUCUUGCGCCCUAAGUUUGCACAGCUUCAUUUCAGGUUGAUCCGGAACAAGUACGGUCGAUGGUACGGACCGCCCGUCCGUACCUCGCCCUAUUUUUGUACCAACUCCCAAUCUUCUCAAAUGGUUAAGUCUGAACAUGAUCUUGGUCGCCCUAAGUUUGUACGGUCUGUACGGUCCGUACCGAUGCUCGACCCUAUUUCUGCACCAUCACCCAACUAACUCCAAAUGGUGUCUAAGUCCCUCCUGAACUUGACUCUAAC
This 3724-nucleotide long non-coding RNA is filed under the name Brassica napus (rape). RNAcentral's name for it is "long non-coding RNA (BNAP_LNC025396)". Lineage: Eukaryota; Viridiplantae; Streptophyta; Magnoliopsida; Brassicales; Brassicaceae. The record is from RNAcentral.